RNAcentral lists this non-coding RNA (148 nucleotides) under Nomascus leucogenys (northern white-cheeked gibbon). The record is from Rfam by way of RNAcentral. Lineage: Eukaryota; Metazoa; Chordata; Mammalia; Primates; Hylobatidae.
GCUGGGUGUGGUGGUGCACACCUGUAAUCCCAGCUACUCGGGAGGCUGAGGCAGGAUAAUCACUUGAACCCAGGAGGCAGAGGUUGCAGUGAGCCAAGAUUCUGCCACUGCACUCCAGCCUGGGUGACAGAGUGAGACUUAGUCUCAA